AUGAUCAGAAACUUAGCCUGGAUCCUAAGGCUGUCUUUCAUGUAGAAGAUAAGGAUUUAAACACAAUUCCGAUUGUAGCUAGUAGAGAUACAGAAAAUGAUGCAGUAACAACCACUGAUAGUCUUCCUGAAGAUACAAUUGACAAAGACAAAUUGAUCUCCUUUCUUGAGGAAGAUUUGCAAUACCUUAGAGCAAGAAUUGCAGAACUUGAACAGAAUCAUCA
RNAcentral lists this unclassified non-coding RNA (223 nucleotides) under Hevea brasiliensis (rubber tree). The record is from RNAcentral. Lineage: Eukaryota; Viridiplantae; Streptophyta; Magnoliopsida; Malpighiales; Euphorbiaceae.